GCUCAUAUUCCUUUAUUACGUACAUGAAAUAUAAAAACAAACGAACAAAGCAAUAUAUAUAUAUUUUUUGCAAGUCCACAGGACCUCAGGGAAAAAUAUGUUCCAUAUGUGAAGUUAAUCGUAUGGCACUGCGAUUUACAUUUUGUAUAUUCAAGUGCAGAAGAAACUGUAUGUAUAGUUGGUUAUGCCUGGGAACAGAAGGUAGAUAAUUACGAGAACUUGUAUCUGGUGAACCAUCACAUACACAGUGGCAGAAACUGGGUAACUAUGACGACCAUCUAUUGUUAAUAAAGACAAGGAGCAAAAGUGUCUUGACGUUCAGGUUUAAAUACUAAACACAAGACUAUGACAAACUGUGUGUCUACGAUCAUUUUUGUAGUGUACACAAGUGCAUUGCAAAAAAGUGAGCUUUUUAAAAUGUAAAGUCCCUUUCCCCUUUAGCCAAGCAUAUUUCUACACUUAGGAAUUCUUUCUCUUAUUUUAAAGUCUCUUCUCAUUUAAAUUUUUUUUAAACAAAUUUUUUAAAGUUUCAUCGUCUUGGAAUCGAACCUCUAGCCCGAAGCUGAGACUUCAUGAGAACGGAUGCCCUUUCAGGCGCCAUCCUCACGUAGUUUCUCCAAGAAUUCAGAGUUAAAUACGACUUCCUUGGUAGGGUCGCUUUUGUCCACACGCGGCGGCAGUGCUUCUGUUUCAGUGGGUUUUCUUCCUCGUCCUUUCCUGUCCAUCCACAGCGGCCUCCGGGCUCUCACAACACAAGUGGCUGGUAGUAAAGUGCUUUAUACAAGGAGCCAUUAUAUACACGUGGAGAGGGUCCCGUAACCCCCCACAGUCCGACGUUCACACACAACACACAAGAGAAGGCUCUUUUUAAGAAACACCUUUCCUGAUAAUAGAGCUGGGGAUUCUUUAACAUCUCCUUGGUUACUUUUAGUAGCAUCAAAUACAAGCGUUACAUAUCUAAGGCCGGGAGGAGGAGUCCUUGCUAAGGGUACUGUCCUUAAUAGAUCACUGCUAAAUAUCAUGCCGUUAUCAACAUACUCGUAAUAGGUGUGGAUCUGAGAAUCAGUCCCAUAGAAAACAGGUAUGAAAAAAAAAAGAAAACAGGUGUCAGCCUAGGGGAUUUCAUGCCUCUUUAGGAAAAACAAAACAAAACGAAAUGAAAUGAAAGUGUAUGUAAACAUGGGCUCAGAAGGGACAGGGUACCCAAGGCCCAUGCAGGGGAACAUUUCUGUACAUUUUGGCACUUGAAAUAAUUCCAGUUUCAUUCUUGAGGUUUCCUUUCCGUUACGUUUGUAUUUUGCACGCAGGGAAGUGCUAUCAUGUGCUACGCACCUGUAUUGCUAUUUGCAUUCUCUUUUUAAAA
Molecule: long non-coding RNA, 1363 nt
Organism: Tupaia belangeri chinensis (Chinese tree shrew)
Lineage: Eukaryota; Metazoa; Chordata; Mammalia; Scandentia; Tupaiidae
Exons: 2
Source: RefSeq, a predicted model, not a curated record